This 402-nucleotide unclassified non-coding RNA is filed under the name soil metagenome. RNAcentral describes it as "partial contains 5.8S ribosomal RNA, internal transcribed spacer 2, and large subunit ribosomal RNA". The stretch from base 1 to 121 matches the Rfam family "5.8S ribosomal RNA", at positions 35 to 154 of the family's 154-position model. The record is from RNAcentral.
GAUGAAGAACGUAGUGAAAUGCGAUAAGUAAUGUGAAUUGCAGAAUUCAGUGAAUCAUCGAAUCUUUGAACGCACCUUGCGCCCUUUGGCUAUUCCGAAGGGCAUGCCUGUUUGAGUAUCAUGAACACCUCAACUCUCAUGGCUCGCCAUGAUGAGCUUGGACUUUGGGGGUCUUGCUGGCCUGUGGUCGGCUCCUCUCAAAUGGAUCAGCUUGCCAGUGUUUGGUGGCAUCACAGGUGUGAUAACUAUCUGCGCUUGUGGUUUUCCAUCAGAUAACCUUCAGUGAUGGAGGUUCGCUGGAGCUCAUAAACGUCUCCCCUAAGCGGGGACAGCCCUUUGAAUGUUUGAUCUCAAAUCAGGUAGGACUACCCGCUGAACUUAAGCAUAUCAAUAAGCGGAGGA